This 489-nucleotide ribosomal RNA is filed under the name uncultured bacterium. RNAcentral describes it as "bacterial SSU rRNA". It matches the Rfam family "Bacterial small subunit ribosomal RNA", at positions 29 to 507 of the family's 1533-position model. The record is from RNAcentral.
ACGAACGCUGGCGGCGUGCUUAACACAUGCAAGUCGAACGAGAAAGCACCUUCGGGUGCGAGUAAAGUGGCGAACGGGUGAGUAACAGGUGGAUCACCUGCCUCUCGGUGGGGGAUAGCUGCUGGAAACGGCAGGUAAUACCGCAUUCGAUUGCACGUUGAUUCGUGCAAGGAAAGGCGCCUUCAAGCGCCGCCGAGAGAUGGGUCCGCCCCCCAUUAGCUUGUUGGUGUGAUAAUAGCGCACCAAGGCGACGAUGGGUAGCCGAACUGAGAGGUUGAUCGGCCACACUGGAACUGAGACACGGUCCAGACACCUACGGGUGGCAGCAGUAGGGAAUAUUGCGCAAUGGGCGAAAGCUUGACGCAGCCAUGCCGCGUGGAUGAUGAAGGCCUUCGGGUCGUAAAGUCCUUUUCUGAGGGAAGAACAACCUGUGGAGGAAAUGCCACAGGUCUGACGGUACCUCAGGAAUAAGCAACGGCUAACUCCGUG